AAGAAACGAAAUCUUUUGUGAAUUGCUAAAAUCGUGAAUCAUAAGUUUUCGAACACAUACCGGACUCUGAGAUCUUCGGGUCGAAGAGUGCCUGUUUUCAAAUGUCAGUAUUUGUCAUUCUUCACGGCGUUGCAAUUAGUCUUCGCUUGAAGCGACAGCAUUGCUCGGCAAUCUACGUUGUAUGAACGAAUACUUCGUUAGACGAAGCUGUGUUCCGACUUUCAGUUGGACGCGCGCCCUAACAAUUCUCUAACUGACUUUGAGAACAGGAGGUUACCCGCUGAAGUUAAGC
Molecule: unclassified non-coding RNA, 292 nt
Filed under: plant metagenome
Description: partial contains 5.8S ribosomal RNA, internal transcribed spacer 2, and large subunit ribosomal RNA
Source: RNAcentral